AGGCAGUGCAUUGUGGGGGAGGAAAAGAAGGAAGGAGUGAAGAGGGCAUGGGAGGGAGGGUGUAGGGAGACAGUUGGUUGGGGUAGGGAGGAAGAGUGAGAACGGGAAGGAAGAAAGUGAUGGUAGAAAUAAAGUGAUAUAAAUAACAUCACCGUCCAUUCUCUCUCCUCAAACCAACUGACCUAACAACCCAUUGCAAAACUAUUCCUGCAGUGCUAACACCCAGACCUGCAUGGGGCCCUGUGUGGCUCAAACUAUGAAGGGAAUUAAAGGUAACUUGGCAACAGUGCUGACGUCACACUAGUCAGCUCUCAGGCAGGAGUGGGUGUGCUGUGUGUUGUGUAAGUGUGAAGACGUGUGUGCUGUGCUGCCUCGCGUGUACUGGUGUGUGUUGUUCUAUGUGGGUGUAGUGUGUGUGUGUGUGUGUGUGUGUGACUCUGGAAACACUGGCCAUGCGCUGGAGUACAGAAGACGUGGGUAGUGUUGUGUUAGCUAAGGCAGGAACACAGGAGUCAAGAAACAGCCUGUGGGAGUGUUUACUUCCGUGCAUCGACCAGGAGGAGUUAAAAUCCCGAACUUCCUGGAUGUUCACAGUAUUCCUUCAGUUCACAGUGCGGAAAAAUGCAACUUGAAGGCUGAAGCAUCCUGAAGGCUGCUGAAUGCCCUGACCAGAGCGGCAGUUGUGUGAAGUACUGCCGCCCCGCCGCCGCUGUCUGGGAGUGUGCUGCCUUUUGGAUCAAAGUAAGCCGAGGGUCAUUAUCCACUCAUCUACCUGUACAUUAGCGGCGCCAGGUGAGCAUAGAUUGGAGAUUUCUUUAUUACUUUACCUGUUCUUACCUGCUGUGUGCAAUUAAUACUUUACCUGUGUUGAUUACCUUAUUCACCUUGCCUCUGUCAGCACGACGAGACAGCCUCCUCUUGUCCUUCAGGUGUGGGAGUGAAGGAAAGGAGUGAAGGAGGUAAAAAGCGAAGGUGAAUAGGAAUAGACAGCUGAAAAUAUUCUCUUAUGGAUUCUCUCUAUUUUUGAG
Long non-coding RNA from Scylla paramamosain (green mud crab), 1028 nucleotides. RefSeq lists it as uncharacterized. NCBI's taxonomy places the organism in Eukaryota, Metazoa, Arthropoda, Malacostraca, Decapoda, Portunidae. The record is from RefSeq and is a predicted model, not a curated record. The transcript has 3 exons.